This 237-nucleotide unclassified non-coding RNA is filed under the name Hevea brasiliensis (rubber tree). The record is from RNAcentral. Lineage: Eukaryota; Viridiplantae; Streptophyta; Magnoliopsida; Malpighiales; Euphorbiaceae.
GCAAAGGACUGGACGUCAUAGGGGUUGAAGCACCAGCUGAUAAAUACUCAGCUUGAACAUGGAAGCCUGGUGGUAAAUGAGGUUGGACAUCUAUCAUAGAGCUAACAAAUGGAGAAGAUUGGCUCAAAAUGCGAUCAGCAUUCUGAGACAAGGAUGCCAUUGUCACAGGAGGCGGAGUUGGUGGUAAUGGUGGCUGCAUUUUCGGGUCAAAAUAUCCCUGGGAACCAAUGUUUGGGG